UGUCGCCGUAGCUUAAACCAAAAGCAUAGCACUGAAAAUGCUAAGACAAGUUCUGAAAGACUUCGCUGACAA
Molecule: transfer RNA, 72 nt
Filed under: Lepidosiren paradoxa (South American lungfish)
Lineage: Eukaryota; Metazoa; Chordata; Ceratodontiformes; Lepidosirenidae
Description: tRNA-Phe
Rfam family: tRNA
About the family: Transfer RNA (tRNA) molecules are approximately 80 nucleotides in length. Their secondary structure includes four short double-helical elements and three loops (D, anti-codon, and T loops). Further hydrogen bonds mediate the characteristic L-shaped molecular structure. tRNAs have two regions of fundamental functional importance: the anti-codon, which is responsible for specific mRNA codon recognition, and the 3' end, to which the tRNAs corresponding amino acid is attached (by aminoacyl-tRNA synthetases). tRNAs cope with the degeneracy of the genetic code in two manners: having more than one tRNA (with a specific anti-codon) for a particular amino acid; and 'wobble' base-pairing, i.e. permitting non-standard base-pairing at the 3rd anti-codon position.
Source: RNAcentral